GUAAUUAAUUAACCAACUGAGAUCCAGUUCAGGGGUGAAAGUUCUUCAGGUACGAGGAGGGCAUUGUUGUCAGUCUGGACCGAGCCCGCAGAGCCCCUCCUCGGCGUCCUGGUCCCGGCCGUGCCCGCGGUGUCCCGGGAGGAAGGGGCGGGCCGGGGGUCGGGAGGAGUCACGUGCCCCCUCCCGCCCCAGGUCGUCCUCUCAGCAUGGGGGUCCCGCGGCCUCAGCCCUGGGCGCUGGGGCUCCUGCUCUUUCUCCUUCCUGGGAGCCUGGGCGCAGGUGAGGGCCGCUCCGGGCCAGGGCCCUGCUGCAGGCGGGCGGCGGGAGGCGGCCCCAGGCAGGCAGGGGCGAAGCCAGCGGGACCCGAGUUCCCCGCGAGCCCCUGGCGCUGCCUUCUCCGCUCAAUUAACUUUCUCAACGUCUCCUGCUGGGCCUGAGGCUGGGAACCACCUGUCGCCUCGUGUGUCUGUUUCCCUCUCUCUCUCUGGGUCUCUGUCCCCCUCUCUUUCUGGGUCUCUUGUCUCUCUCUCUCUCUCUCUCUGGGUCUCUGUCCCCCCCCCCCCCGGGUUUCUGUCCCCUCUCUCUGAAUCUGUCCCCCUUCCUCCAUAAUAGAUUCUUCUCCCUCCCUGGGUAUCUGUCCCACUGCAGUCUAGUUCCCCGCCCGUGUGCUCCCUUCAGCUCUGUUUCUGUCUGCAGAAAGCCACCUCUCCCUCCUGUACCACCUUACCGCGGUGUCCUCGCCUGCCCCGGGGACUCCUGCCUUCUGGGUGUCUGGCUGGCUGGGCCCGCAGCAGUACCUGAGCUACAAUAGCCUGCGGGGCGAGGCGGAGCCCUGUGGAGCUUGGGUCUGGGAAAACCAGGUGUCCUGGUAUUGGGAGAAAGAGACCACAGAUCUGAGGAUCAAGGAGAAGCUCUUUCUGGAAGCUUUCAAAGCUUUGGGGGGAAAAGGUGAGACUCCGGUCUGGAGGGGCAAGGGGCCGGGUCCAUGCUCCGGGGCCCCGCUUACCUGUGUUUGGGCGCCCCAGGUCCCUACACUCUGCAGGGCCUGCUGGGCUGUGAACUGGGCCCUGACAACACCUCGGUGCCCACCGCCAAGUUCGCCCUGAACGGCGAGGAGUUCAUGAAUUUCGACCUCAAGCAGGGCACCUGGGGUGGGGACUGGCCCGAGGCCCUGGCUAUCAGUCAGCGGUGGCAGCAGCAGGACAAGGCGGCCAACAAGGAGCUCACCUUCCUGCUAUUCUCCUGCCCGCACCGCCUGCGGGAGCACCUGGAGAGGGGCCGCGGAAACCUGGAGUGGAAGG
This 1301-nucleotide small RNA is filed under the name Pan troglodytes (chimpanzee). RNAcentral describes it as "retained intron". Lineage: Eukaryota; Metazoa; Chordata; Mammalia; Primates; Hominidae. The record is from RNAcentral.